GACGAACCGUCCAAACGUUAUUCGGAAUCACUGGGCUUAAAGGGUGCGUAGGCGGCGCGGGAAGUUGGGUGUGAAAUCCCUCGGCUCAACCGAGGAACUGCGCCCAAAACUGCCGUGCUCGAGGGAGACAGAGGUGAGCGGAACUUAGGGUGGAGCGGUGAAAUGCGUUGAUAUCCUAAGGAACACCGGUGGCGAAAGCGGCUCACUGGGUCUUUUCUGACGCUGAGGCACGAAAGCUAGGGGAGCGAAGAGG
RNAcentral lists this ribosomal RNA (253 nucleotides) under uncultured bacterium. RNAcentral describes it as "partial 16S ribosomal RNA". It matches the Rfam family "Bacterial small subunit ribosomal RNA", at positions 524 to 776 of the family's 1533-position model. The record is from RNAcentral.